Benincasa hispida (wax gourd) is the source of this 4315-nucleotide non-coding RNA. The record is from RefSeq and is a predicted model, not a curated record. Lineage: Eukaryota; Viridiplantae; Streptophyta; Magnoliopsida; Cucurbitales; Cucurbitaceae.
UUUGUUUUCUCUUCCGCCUUUUCCUUCAAGCGUCAUUUCUCUUCUGCCUCUUAGUUCAAGUGCAGUCUCUUCCCCUUCAUUUUCUUUCUCGUCUUCUCCUUCGAACAGCUCCAUCUAUUGUUUGCUCUUAGGUUUCUCUCUCGUUUCUCGUCUCCAACUUCGCAAGUCAGUCGCAGCGUGAAGCAUAUUUGUUACUUAUGUUGUGGCCUUUUCCGUUCUCAAAGCUUCCACAUCUCUUGUAGAGUUUGUGUAUAGGAUCGAGAAGAGCCAGAAUACUGGAAUGGUGCUCUCAAGCCCUAACUUUUAAAGGCUUCACGUCGAGCAAUUGGAUUUGUUUUACUGGAUCGUUGAUUCUGAUGCCCUUCUCUUGGUGUGUGCUUUCCUUCAACUCUAACCUUUUUUGGCUUAUUUUUUUUAAUUGAAGACUAUGAUUGUUCUCCUUCUUUUGACUAAAUGCGAUGGAGAGAGAUUGAAUGUGUGUUUCAACCCAACUCAUUGGGCAUAAAUAAAGCCAAAUCAGAUUAGGAUUGAUUUUCUCAAUCUACCAAAAACGAUUAUAUCCAAAAUAAUCUCGAUGUUGGAGAAGAUUGGAUUGCAGCUAAACAAGAAACUGAAUAAUGGCAGAAGAUGCUUACAAUAAUAGGACCAAGCUUGAUCACAAUAAAAGAUCUGUAAUAAAAGAGUUGAUGUUCUAUAUUUGCUCUUCAAGACUUGUCAAAUAUUGUUUUAUCAUUUUUUCGGUUUGUAUAUUUCUUUGAAAAUAACAAAAAACCUCCCAAAGUAUCGUUGAAGUGCAUUAUAGAAAAAGACCCACUACGAUUGUUUUGACUCGUUUGUAAUUGCAUGUUGUACAAGGGUAUAGUUCCACUCUUGGGACACUAUAUUCCAUGUAAGUUGAAAAGAUCAUGGGUUGAGAGCACCAUUCCAAUAUUGGGCCGAAGCCGAAUUUUUCUUGAGUUGACAAACUUGACGGCCAUGAUUAGGAUUAGCCUUUUUCUUAUAAUUUAUUAUCUUCGCUGCAGUUUUUUUAACUUUAUUUGAGACUUCAAGAUCUUGGGUGGAGUUGCAAUGAAAAAUUUGAAGCCUUAAUUCCUUUACUAAAAAUAAUGGCCCACUAGAUCAUUGUUGCUCGUUGUCUUUCAGAUUUGGCAACCUUCACUACAAGAUAUAUCACUUUUUAUAGCAUUUCAACUAAGGUGAAAAGGUCUCACAUUUUCCCCUUCCCUUUAUUUCUCUGUUCUUUCUUUUUUAUUUAUGUGUUUCUCUCCACUUAAUCUUGAUUCUUGAUGAAGCCCCAAUUUUGAUUCGCAAAAACCAGUUGAGUUGGAAUUCACUUGAUGUCGUAAAACUGAUUCACAACGCACCAAGCUUUGAUUAGACGUCAGAAAGUGUGGACGGAUGAGCGUGAAGUCAGUGAGAGGAGCGCUUGUGACCGAAUAGAUGGUGUUUUCGGAGGUGGCCCACGACUCUAUGUUGGGAUUGAAACCUUGCGACAGAGGCACCUCUUUAAGCUUUUCCUAUAACAACAAAUAGGGUUUGUGAUUGGGCUCUCCAAAAACUCAACAUCAUUUCAGGUUUUUAGGUAUUCUUUUUCAGUUCAUUGUUUUCUUUUUCAUUUUGCUUUCUCUCUAUAUUUUCCACUGAUUUCUUCUACUGAAUGUCUACUGUUAUAGCUUCUAUUUUAGCUAAAUUCAAUUUGUUAAAUUCAGCUCUGUUGGUAAAAGUUUACUGCUGCAUAGAGCCUGUUUUAAAAAAUGCCUCGUGAAAUUGUUUAUUUGAUUUGGCAAUGGUGAAGUAAUUGUUCUUUAUUUUGGAUUUUUUUCUUAAUGUGCUGUUUUGUUCCAAGAAAAAUAAGUGAAGGGUUUCCAUGGAAUGAUUUUUCUUGGGGUCUUUAAUAUUCUCUUAUCCAAAAUCCUAGCUAAACUAGUUUUUGUAGCUUAAUUGAAUAAAAACCAAUUUCAGGAAGAUAAUUAUUAAAACAUAUAUACUCAAUUUUUUUUAACAUGAAGAAUCAAAACAGAAAUUUGAAGGAACCAAGAUUAAAAUGCUUUCUUGAAAAGUACUUUACCUUUUUUCUGUUGCAAAUAUAGUUUUAGGCAAAAUGGUGACCCCUUAUCCAAAGUAGACUUCCAUCAAAAGCUUUUGCUUGUCUUCUUCUGAGAGAACAUCAAAAUUAUGUAGGAAAAGAUUUGUUUUUUUUUUUGAAACCCACGACACUUGGUGCUUAAUGAUUUAAUGUUAAACCUGGAUGCUAACUCUGUUAUCACAAGCCUACACUUGUUGUGGUUAAACAAUCUAAUUACUUCUUUUCUUACUUUGUAAUCUUCCAAUCCCUUUCCAUAAUCUUGCAAUUCCUUUACCAUCCAAGAUGGAUCUUGGAAAAAUACAGAGAUGGCUUCUUCAUAUUUUCAUAAGCUUAGUACAAAAAAAGGACUCUUUGUUUUUCAAUUUACUUAUGAUUCUACUCAUAUUUGAGUAUCAUUGGUAUUCUUUAGUCCAACAUCCGAUGAAAUAAUUUAUAAACUAUUUUAUAUAUUCAAUUCCUUAGUAAUUACUCUAACAGACAAUUUUUUGACAAAUAAUUUAAAAUUGUUACAAAAAAGAAAGACAAACGAAAAUUUCAACUUUGAGAACCGUUUAUCAUAUGCCUCAGUCAUGAUUUCAAUUUAGAUUGCAAGCCCUAAGGUUGUCUAUCAACUCAAUCCCACUCUUAGUGAUGAAAAAAUCAGCAAGCAAAGGCAAUUUGGGUCUAUAAAAGGGCUACAAAAUAUUCAUACGGUGACAAUACUAUAAAUAUUGUUUUAUUAUUGAAGGUUAGCACAUGUCACAUUCUCUUUUCUUUCAGAUGUCACAGGUUGUUUUUUCUUUCUUCAUAUUUUUCUGGAGUUGAGAGCUUAUUCUAGCACUUCCCAUGAGUUAUUUGUACUUUAGACUUGGUAAAGAAUGAUUUCUCUACUUGGUGUUAUGAUGAAGUAUUCUUUUAUUACUCUAAUCCUUAAUGGUGUACCUAAAAAAUGUGAGUCCUUGUAUGGAUGGAGAAAGAAUAAGUUGCACUUUUCUUUUUGCAUUUGCAGUUGUGGGGAUACAUGUCUCUGCAUUUUUAAUGACACUUAUAAUUUAGAUGUUCUCUCAUUGUUGUGUGCCUUUUUCUUCCCUGUAAAGAACCUAAACCAUUUGUUGAUGUGUAUUGAUCUGUUAUUUCCACUGCCAAGAUGGUCUUUGGCCUAUGCUAUAAUUAUUGUUCACUAUUGAUAUAGAUAAUUGGUUGCAACUUAUUUUAUAGAAUAUUCACUGAUAUGUGCAAGCAAAGCCUUCUCUACCAUGAUCUCUGUUAUUUGGACGUUGAUUUGACUUAAUGGCCUGACUUCUUCAAAGUUUGCUACCUAUUUGGAUGUUGGUUUGGUUUUUAUUUGACUAAUGGCCAUGCAAUAGUUUAACAAAAUUUUCAUAAUAUCAUUUAUCAACAUUUUGGCAUAUUAGUCAAGCACUUGCUUUGUUUUUUUACAUUUGGUUGUUCAAGGUCAUUGUGAAUAAGGUUGUCAAGGUUCAAACCACGACCAACCAUUUAGGAUAUUAACAAUCAUGAAUUUCCAUGUAUAAAUCAUACAAAGGUGUACAUAUUUUAGCCUAACACCCAUGGUUACCAAAACUAGCUUUUACUAUAAUCUUAUAUAGAUUUUCUGAAACAUAAAUAACAUUGGUCAGAUGAGGCAAGUAACUUUUCCAUGUAGACAUAGCAGAUCUUGUCUUGUAGACUGGUAAAUUGUGUAUACUAGAUGCAGUUUACUAGAUGCAAUCUCCAACUUGAAUGACUUCUCAACUUUCUUGCUUUCAAAUUUAACUCUUUUGGGUAUUAUUAGUGAGAUGAUUAUGACUGAUUUUUUCAAUUGACAAACUUUUUAUGUUGCAUAAAUCUAGAUAACUUGUUAAAAUUUUAGGUUAGGAUAUCCAAAAUGAAUGUUAUUUGCUUGUGAGAAAUUGGAGGAGUUCUAGUUCAAAAUCUAGGAUAUCCAAAAUCUAGAUAAGUUGCAAUCAGCUCUAGUUCAAAAGAUUCAUAACGAAGGAGUGGUGCAAAUGAAGUUCAAUUGCAUAGAUUUUAAAUCUCAAUUGUGUGCGGAUGCUCCCAUGGCUAGUGAUUACCUGCCUUUUAAUUUAAUAAACUUAUCUUUUGCAUUGUGAAGAUUAGUGAUACUUUACAUAUAAAACGCAUGGUUGAGGAAGAAACUUCAUUAGUCUUUCCAUACUUUUCCAACUUUAUGAAUUUGCAUUAUUACGCUCUCAAGUACUCAAUGGAUUUGAUAAUAUUUUCUCAUUG